CAGCCACAAGCCAUGACACCAUCUGCAUAGAGAAAAAGAAGUUGAAAUAAUGUAAUAUAAUUUGCAAGAAAACAAAGAAUGUGCAGCAAGCAAAGCAAGCUAUACCAACAAAAACAGAGUUGAAGCGGAUGAUCAUCUACAUAAUGAGAAAGCAGGAAGAACAAAAGCAUAACAUGAUAAGAUAAAGUUAGAAAUUCUAAAUUAAAAACACGCUUCUUGAAAGGAAAGACGAAGAUCUAAUUACUAGGCUUCACCUUCGAUGAAGUUUUCAAACAAGAAUAAUCAGGCUGCCUAGAUAGACAGAAAAUUAACAACUCUAUUCACUAAGAUUUUACAGAUUCAACUUUAGCGUGGUUAUCGAAUUCAUCCAAGCACAAAAGAAAGUACUUACAAAAGCUAUCAGGUAGAAAUGCUGUCAGACUAUUUCAAUAGUGAUGCAUUUGCAACAUCACGCAUGUCAAAUAUAUUGAUGAAGUACAAAUCACUAGUUUGACUAGGGAUUAAUGCUGACAACUACCAAAGCCAUGACCAAGCACGAGUUACGCAGCACAUAGAUUUUUCACAAAGACCAGUGAAAAGCUUCAUCAGAGGAAAUUUACAACAGAUCAUCAAACCAUAGCACCAGAGGGCAGAAGGAAAAGAAUUUGUGCAAGUCUUAAGUGGCACAGCAGUUAUAAAUACUGCUAUAGAACAGGCAAUAGCCAUUCCACUCUCCAGAUUUCCUAAAUUCAUAGGACCCAGUUGCACGCUUCACAUCCUAUCAUAACAGGAGUUCUGUUGAACUGAAUCCACCAUGGGCAUUGAUAAAUCCUAAAACUAUGUCAUGAUAUAUAUUCAAUGAGAUACUAAAUUGAUCAGUGUUAACAAUGUAAAAAUAAUUGAUGCCAUCGCCUAUCUGAAUCCACAGGCUAAGGCUCCCUAGCUAAUAGGAUCAGGAUGUCAGCGUUACCGUAUAUAACUUAGUGAAACAAGAAGGAUGUCAUAGGAAACAAUCUGGCCAUUGACAAAAUUUGCAAGUAAAGCAUUUAGUUUUUCUUGGGAUUGUUGUGGUUUAAUAAUUUCCUCAAAUACCCAAAGCACUUGCAUUUUUUCCACAAGUUGCUUUUUUUAAAAAGCAUAUAAGUCAUACAAGUCAUUGUUAAUGUCAAUAAUGUGACUUGAAUGUUGAAACAAAGGUAUAUUACAACACAUGCAGGAUUUUUCUGUAUUACCCUGGUUUCCAAAAUUCUCAGACGAUGUAGACAAGAAGUUGUUAGCUUCUUCAAAUAUGUAAUUCUGAAUUCACAGUGCAUUAGGUUCUACACAAUUUAUGGUUAUAAGAUCUUCAAAAAAAAAAAGAAUGUACUUUAUGCCCAGUUACUUGACAGCAAUUUAAUGGUCAUCUAGAGAUUCAUAAACAAAAUAACAAUUAUGGGAAUCAUCAACAUACCUUGAGAACAAUACCAAUUUUGAA
RNAcentral lists this unclassified non-coding RNA (1453 nucleotides) under Hevea brasiliensis (rubber tree). The record is from RNAcentral. Lineage: Eukaryota; Viridiplantae; Streptophyta; Magnoliopsida; Malpighiales; Euphorbiaceae.